GACGAACGCUGGCGGCGUGCUUAACACAUGCAAGUCGAACGGUAAGGCCCUUCGGGGUACACGAGUGGCGAACGGGUGAGUAACACGUGGGUGAUCUGCCCUGCACUUCGGGAUAAGCCUGGGAAACUGGGUCUAAUACCGGAUAUGACCAUGGCCUGCAUGGGUUGUGGUGGAAAGCUUUUGCGGUUGGGGAUGGGCCCGCGGCCUAUCAGCUUGUUGGUGGGGUAAUGGCCUACCAAGGCGACGACGGGUAGCCGACCUGAGAGGGUGAUCGGCCACACUGGGACUGAGACACGGCCCAGACUCCUACGGGAGGCAGCAGUGGGGAAUAUUGCACAAUGGGCGCAAGCCUGAUGCAGCGACGCCGCGUGAGGGAUGACGGCCUUCGGGUUGUAAACCUCUUUCACCAGGGACGAAGCGCGAGUGACGGUACCUGGAGAAGAAGCACCGGCCAACUACGUGCCAGCCGCCGCAGUAA
This 478-nucleotide ribosomal RNA is filed under the name uncultured bacterium. RNAcentral describes it as "partial 16S ribosomal RNA". It matches the Rfam family "Bacterial small subunit ribosomal RNA", at positions 28 to 523 of the family's 1533-position model. The record is from RNAcentral.